Molecule: transfer RNA, 72 nt
Filed under: Cavia porcellus (domestic guinea pig)
Lineage: Eukaryota; Metazoa; Chordata; Mammalia; Rodentia; Caviidae
Rfam family: tRNA
About the family: Transfer RNA (tRNA) molecules are approximately 80 nucleotides in length. Their secondary structure includes four short double-helical elements and three loops (D, anti-codon, and T loops). Further hydrogen bonds mediate the characteristic L-shaped molecular structure. tRNAs have two regions of fundamental functional importance: the anti-codon, which is responsible for specific mRNA codon recognition, and the 3' end, to which the tRNAs corresponding amino acid is attached (by aminoacyl-tRNA synthetases). tRNAs cope with the degeneracy of the genetic code in two manners: having more than one tRNA (with a specific anti-codon) for a particular amino acid; and 'wobble' base-pairing, i.e. permitting non-standard base-pairing at the 3rd anti-codon position.
Source: Rfam by way of RNAcentral
GGGGAUAUUGCUCAGUGGUACAGCGCCCGCUUGGCAAGUGUGAAGUCAUGAGUUUAAUUCUUGGUACCCCCC